This 410-nucleotide ribosomal RNA is filed under the name uncultured bacterium. RNAcentral's name for it is "bacterial SSU rRNA". It matches the Rfam family "Bacterial small subunit ribosomal RNA", at positions 370 to 772 of the family's 1533-position model. The record is from RNAcentral.
AAUGGGGGCAACCCUGAUCCAGCCAUUCCGUGUGAGUGAAGAAGGCCUUCGGGUUGUAAAGCUCUUUCGGCAGGGAAGAAACGGCUAUGGUUAAUACCUGUGGCUAAUGACGGUACCUGAAGAAGAAGCACCGGCUAACUACGUGCCAGCAGCCGCGGUAAUACGUAGGGUGCGAGCGUUAAUCGGAAUUACUGGGCGUAAAGCGUGCGCAGGCGGUUUUGUAAGACAGGUGUGAAAUCCCCGGGCUUAACCUGGGAACUGCGCUUGUGACUGCAAGACUCGAGUACGGCAGAGGGGGGUGGAAUUCCACGUGUAGCAGUGAAAUGCAUAGAGAUGUGGAGGAACACCGAUGGCGAAGGCAGCCCCCUGGGUCGAUACUGACGCUCAUGCACGAAAGCGUGGGGAGCAAA